Mustela lutreola (European mink) is the source of this 3491-nucleotide long non-coding RNA. RefSeq lists it as uncharacterized. NCBI's taxonomy places the organism in Eukaryota, Metazoa, Chordata, Mammalia, Carnivora, Mustelidae. The transcript is spliced from 3 exons. The record is from RefSeq and is a predicted model, not a curated record.
AGCCCGCUACCUUCUCCAUAGCUAGUGCGGAGCUUAACUACUUUUCCCAGGAGGCAUUGCGCGUCCAUCGCUCCUCCCCACAGGGAGGCGGGCGGCUUUGAGCUGAGCGGUAUUUAGACUCGAGCUGCGGUCUUUCAGCUGCGCGCUUUGGCCACAAAUACGUUGCAGAGGAGGCAGGGGUUGAAAAAAGCCCAGAGCCUGGCGCCGGGACCGAGACUGGGUGUUAAUAGGCUCCAAGCCCAACGUGGAGCCCAGUGAGGACCUGAAUGCAUGACCCUGUGAUCAAGACCUGAACUGAGAUCAAGUGUUGGACACUUACCUGACUGAGCCACCCAGGCACCCCAGAUCACAAGCAGGCAGAGAAGAAGGCAGAGAGAAAGGAGGAAGCAGACUCCCCGCUGAGUAGAGAACCCAAUGCAGGGCUCGAUCCAAGGACCCGAGCCAAAGGCAGAGGCUUAACCCACUGAGCCACCCAGGUGCCCCAAAAGUGCUUUUCACAGGAUUUAAUAAGCCUGUUACCCUUUUGGUUUUCUAUCUGUCCCAUCUGUACUUACUACUCUCUCCUUUUCUCAACUUUUUUUGGAUUAAUCAAAUUUAUUAUCCCAUUCCAUUCCACUAUUAAAAUUCCCACUAUACAUCCUCAUAUAAUUUUUUUACAUGGUUACUUACACUUAAGCAUGUACACUCAAACAGAACAAAAUUGCUCCAAAUAAGUGAAAAUUGAUGGAGGGGGGGGGGGAAUCUUACUUCUUUUAUGUAUAAAGCGCAAAUAUACACACAGCACAUAAAGAGAUACACAGGGUAUAUGUAUCUGUGGUUCUAAACUGUCAUAGGGGAACUCAAUUAGGAAAAAAACAAUGUCUAAAGAUGUUUCCUCUGGAGGGCAAUAGGGAAAAGAAGUUUGCCAGGUGCCCCCAGCUACACUGCAUCAAUUUGACCCCUAGAGGGGCUUGAAAGGGAGUAGCUCAAUUACACCACAUAGCUGCUCCCUGCCUAUGCUUGACCCUCAGUAAAAACCAAAGCUCAGGUGAGAUUCCAUGGCUAAACUUCACAUGUAUUCUUACAAACUGUUUCUGGGAGAAUUAAGCACUACUGUGUGACUCCAGUGGAAGUUCACAUCUGGGUUUUCCUGAUCUUCAGCCUAUGCGAAUUUUCUCCUCACUGAUAUGAAACUAUAUCCUUUCAUAACCACCAUUUUUCCUAAUUUUGUAAGCCCUAGCACAUCAUCAAAUUUAAGGAUGGUUUUGGGGAACUCCCACAAACCAUGGCUUUGGUGUAACCUGGUCAAGACCUUCUAGCUUUGGGGAUGUCUCCAUAAUAUCUUUCCUCAAGAACUACAAAGGUACACUGCCUCAUUUUUUAAAUAGUUCUUACCAUACCCUAGCAGAGUUUUAGUCCUAUUCCUAGUUUAUAUUUACACAACCAAGUAUAAACAAGGGAUGGAAGCUAUGUCUCUUUAAUGUAGGCACUUAAUAAAUACCUGAUGUUCGACUUAUUUUUAUUUUUAAGAACUUAUUUAUUUGACAGAGAUCACAAGUGGGCAGAGAGGGAGGCGGGGGGCACGGGGAAGCAGGCUCCCUGCCAAGCACAAAGCCCGAUGCAGGACUCGAUCCCAGGACCCUGAGAUCAUGCCCUGAGCCAAAGGCAGAGGCUUAUUAACCCACUGAGCCACCCAGGUCCCACUGAUAUUUGACUUAUAAAUGCAACUUCUAGAAAUUCUUAAGAAUUUCUUAAAAUUCUAUCAUAAAGAUCUAUAUAUAUUACAAAGUAGUUUAUGAUAAUUCUAAAUAUCUAAGAUUAGGCAAUAGGUUAAAUAAAAUAUGGUGAGCUAUAUGUUAUCACUCUAUGGAUCUCUGACAUUGAUCCAUAUUAAAUGUUGAUGAAAAAUGUUUUCUGAUGAAUUAGACAUCAGAUUUAAAAAGAGAUUAGAGGCUGGAUACUGUCAUAAUAAAGAACAUAGCAUUUGUCAUCCAAAAUUCAGGUUGUUAACUUUAUCUUUGGUUGUUACUGUGUAGCUUUUUACUACAUUACUUAACUGACUUUAUUUCCUCAUCAGCAAAAUGGGAAAAACAAGAGACCUACGUCAAAGUGUUCCUCUAUGUAUCAAAUGAAAUAAAACAUAAAGCACUUUCAGUGGCAUAUAAUAAACACCAAAUUACACCAAGUAAAAGUUGCCCAUUAAUUAAUGAACUUGUAAAGAAUAUUUCAUGUCCCUUGUUUCAUUAUCUUUUAAAAUUCCCUUUGUGCUUCUUUUUCUUACAGUAAAAUUUGAAAUUCUUAAGCUGUGCUUCCAUGUCAUGUUAACUCAGUUCAGUGUCCAGUCUUCAGAUUUCAAUUCUUCCUCAUUAAUAUUUGUCACAAAGACUCUCAAAAAGCAAAGGAAGACAUAUAUUCUUGCUCUCCAUAUAAGGCUGCACACAUAUAACCAGCUCAAAGAAUGUGAUCUAAUAAGUAACGACUCGAGCAUAAUAAUAAAAGGCUCAAUCCUGUUCCUAUGUCCAACACAGGAGUUACUGCAUACUUAUUUCUGUUCCCAUAAAUCUGUCCUUUCAAGUAUAAUGUGUAUAAUGAUGUGUGUAUGACACCUGGAUCUCCCAGAUCGUUCCUAUGUCCUAUGAAAGAAACCACAAUCUUUAAAAAAUAGGAAAUUCUGAAUAGCAGUCUUAAUUCAUAUUUUGUUACCCUGGUCACUGAAAUUCCAAAAGUUUUGAAUACUUGGAUGUGUCAAAUCACACGGUGACCAUUGCCAGUAUCUACUUAUAACUACUUGCCUAGAAAUAUGGAAAAACUGUAACUUUGUCUCUUUUAUGUGGCAAAUGGAUGUGCCAAAUUUCCUGUUGGCAGAAACAAAAUAAAAAACAUAUCCAGAGCGCCUGGGUGGCUCAGUGGAUUAAAGCCUCUGCCUUCGGCUCAGGUCAUGAUCCCAGGAUCCUAGGAUCCAGUCCCACAUGGGGCUCUUUGCUCAGCAGGGACCCUGCUUCCUCCUUCUCUCUCUCUGCCUGGCUCUCUGCCUACUUGUGAUCUUUGUCUGUCAAAUAAAUAAAUAAAAUCUUAAAAAAAAAAAAAAAAACCUAUCCAGACGCAAAUACCCUCAACAAAACAGCAAAAUGAAUUCAACAAUAUAUUAAAAGGAUCAUAUACUAUGAUCAAAUGAGAUUUAUUCCAAGGAUGCUAGGAUGCUUCCAUAUCUACAAAUUAAUCAACACACAAUGAAGGAUCAACAAAAUGAAGGGUAGAAGGAUAAAAAAGGAUAAAGCCACAUGAUCAUCUCAACAGAUGCAGAAAAAGACAUUUGACAAAAUUCAACAUCAGUUUGUUAAAAAUGCAACAAAAUGGGUACUGGGUGGCUCAGUAGGUUAAGCCUCUGCCUUCAGCUCAGGUCAUGAUCUCAGGGUUCUGAAAUCGAACCCCCCACUGGGCUCUCUGCUCAGGAGGGAGCCUGCUUUCCCUGCUCUCUCUCUGCCUGCCACUCUGCCUACUUGUGAUCUCCG